Molecule: long non-coding RNA, 619 nt
Organism: Onthophagus taurus
Lineage: Eukaryota; Metazoa; Arthropoda; Insecta; Coleoptera; Scarabaeidae
Source: RefSeq, a predicted model, not a curated record
GUCAAAGUUAAUUAAUUUUCCCGUACACGCGCUUAGUUUUGUGUUAUUGGCUCAGAUAUUUACGAAACAACUACAUUAUAUAUGUGAGAGCUAGAGACUGAAACGAAAAUACAUCCCUGGUUGUACCACACUCUGUCGUCGACACUUCCGAGCCCAGUUUUAUUCGGAAUGAGAGCGGCGGUUGCCGCCUCGGCAUCAUUGCAGGCGGCACCGGCCUUCCCUGCCACCCCUCGCCGCCCCAGAACUGUGGUUCUUUGUUCGCGGCGCUACUGCCGCCGGCGACCGAACCCAACAAACGAACGAGCGAGCGAGCGCUCAAUUCCGGGGAUUAAGUUCGCGGCGCAAUCCGCGCCCUGCCGCCACAGCAGCGAGCUUCGAGAACGAGGAAGUAGGGAAACUGGAAACCGCCACCGUCGUUCCAUCGUAUCCGCCCGAAUCCUUCUUUUUUCGGGAAGGCACGACCGACUGGCUUCGACUAACUGCGAACCAGCGGCCCGAAGAUAAUCCGCACCGUAGAAAACCAAAAAGGUGCAUUUUUCUGGCGAGAAGUGUCCCAUCUCGGAAACGUUACAAGAAAAACUUUUGUAAGAUUAACAAUAAAAUGAUUCUAAUUGAAUGA